Molecule: long non-coding RNA, 528 nt
Organism: Sarcophilus harrisii (Tasmanian devil)
Lineage: Eukaryota; Metazoa; Chordata; Mammalia; Dasyuromorphia; Dasyuridae
Exons: 3
Source: RefSeq, a predicted model, not a curated record
ACAUAGAAUAUAGAAUGUUAGAGCUAGAAUUCUUCAAGCACAAAUGUUAGCUCAUAGAGUGUCAGAGCUAGAACACAGAAUAUUAGAACACAAAAAGAGCUGAACAGAGACUUAGAAUACAUAUGGUUAAGACUGAAAUAUGCUUUAGAAAUCCUGCAUUAGAACAUUGAAAGCAUACCUAGAGAUCAUCUACAGGGUAUCAACUCUUAUUUGAACAUUCCUGAGAAGGAAUAAUCCAGCCUCCACUUGAAGACUUUUUAUGUCUCAUGAGACAGCCCAUGAAAUUGUUGGACAUAUCUGAUCAUCAAAUAUAUUGAAAAGUUAAGGAUAUAUUUGAUACCAUUUGAAGAAAUCAUUGAAUAAAUCGUUGUCAGGAGAUCUGUAUUCCAGUUCUGGUGCUGCCAUUUUAGCCCUAUCAUGAUUAGCAAGUCACUUUUCAUCUCUAGGACAGGCAUGCUGUUUGCAAAGAAGGCAACUUAAGAAGGCUGGCCAUGUUGUUUAAAUGUACACUUCCUUAAAAGACUAUUU